Molecule: ribosomal RNA, 467 nt
Filed under: uncultured bacterium
Lineage: Bacteria
Description: partial 16S ribosomal RNA
Rfam family: Bacterial small subunit ribosomal RNA
Source: RNAcentral
GAUGAACGCUGACGGAAUGCUUAACACAUGCAAGUCGACCUGAAUUUGGGUUUUUAUCUUCGGUUUGGGUGGCGGACGGGCGAGUAACGCGUAAAUAAAUUGCCUCCCAGUUAGGCACAACAUUUGGCAACGAAUGCUAAUACCUAAUAUUAUGUUAAUAGGGCAUCCUAUAACUAUGAAAGCUAUAAGCGCUGUGAGAGCGCUUUGCGUCCCAUUCGCUAGUUGGAGAGGUAACGGCUCACCAAGGAGAUGAUGGGUAGCCGGCCUGGGAGUGUGAUCGGCCACAAGGGGACUGGGACAGCACCAGUACGGCAUCGUGAGGCAUCAGCGGAAGAUAGAGGAAGAUGGACCGAGAGUGUGAUGCAGGAAUUCUGUGUGCACGAUGAAGUUUUUCGGAAUGAAAAGUUCUGUCAGUUAGGAAGAAAGAAAUGACGGUACCAACAGAAGAAGCGACGGCUAAAUACGUG